RNAcentral lists this ribosomal RNA (739 nucleotides) under Salmonella enterica subsp. enterica serovar Stanley. RNAcentral's name for it is "partial 23S ribosomal RNA". It matches the Rfam family "Bacterial large subunit ribosomal RNA", at positions 994 to 1733 of the family's 2925-position model. The record is from RNAcentral. Lineage: Bacteria; Pseudomonadati; Pseudomonadota; Gammaproteobacteria; Enterobacterales; Enterobacteriaceae.
GGUGCUAACGUCCGUCGUGAAGAGGGAAACAACCCAGACCGCCAGCUAAGGUCCCAAAGUCAUGGUUAAGUGGGAAACGAUGUGGGAAGGCCCAGACAGCCAGGAUGUUGGCUUAGAAGCAGCCAUCAUUUAAAGAAAGCGUAAUAGCUCACUGGUCGAGUCGGCCUGCGCGGAAGAUGUAACGGGGCUAAACCAUGCACCGAAGCUGCGGCAGCGACACUGUGUGUUGUUGGGUAGGGGAGCGUUCUGUAAGCCUGUGAAGGUGUGUCGUGAGGCAUGCUGGAGGUAUCAGAAGUGCGAAUGCUGACAUAAGUAACGAUAAAGCGGGUGAAAAGCCCGCUCGCCGGAAGACCAAGGGUUCCUGUCCAACGUUAAUCGGGGCAGGGUGAGUCGACCCCUAAGGCGAGGCCGAAAGGCGUAGUCGAUGGGAAACGGGUUAAUAUUCCCGUACUUGGUGUUACUGCGAAGGGGGGACGGAGAAGGCUAUGUUGGCCGGGCGACGGUUGUCCCGGUUUAAGCGUGUAGGUGUGUGUUCCAGGUAAAUCCGGUUCACUUUAACACUGAGGCGUGACGACGAGGCACUACGGUGCUGAAGCAACAAAUGCCCUGCUUCCAGGAAAAGCCUCUAAGCAUCAGGUAACAUCAAAUCGUACCCCAAACCGACACAGGUGGUCAGGUAGAGAAUACCAAGGCGCUUGAGAGAACUCGGGUGAAGGAACUAGGCAAAAUGGUGCCGUAA